Molecule: ribosomal RNA, 1482 nt
Filed under: metagenome
Description: bacterial SSU rRNA
Rfam family: Bacterial small subunit ribosomal RNA
Source: RNAcentral
AGAGUUUGAUCAUGGCUCAGGAUGAACGCUGGCGGCGUGCCUAACACAUGCAAGUCGAGCGAAGCACUUAAGUUUGAUUCUUCGGAUGAAGACUUUUGUGACUGAGCGGCGGACGGGUGAGUAACGCGUGGGUAACCUGCCUCAUACAGGGGGAUAACAGUUAGAAAUGGCUGCUAAUACCGCAUAAGACCACAGUACUGCAUGGUACAGUGGUAAAAACUCCGGUGGUAUGAGAUGGACCCGCGUCUGAUUAGGUAGUUGGUGAGGUAACGGCCCACCAAGCCGACGAUCAGUAGCCGACCUGAGAGGGUGACCGGCCACAUUGGGACUGAGACACGGCCCAGACUCCUACGGGAGGCAGCAGUGGGGAAUAUUGCACAAUGGGCGAAAGCCUGAUGCAGCGACGCCGCGUGAAGGAUGAAGUAUUUCGGUAUGUAAACUUCUAUCAGCAGGGAAGAAAAUGACGGUACCUGACUAAGAAGCCCCGGCUAACUACGUGCCAGCAGCCGCGGUAAUACGUAGGGGGCAAGCGUUAUCCGGAAUUACUGGGUGUAAAGGGAGCGCAGGCGGGCGAUCAAGUUGGAAGUGAAAUCCAUGGGCUCAACCCAUGAACUGCUUUCAAAACUGGUCGUCUUGAGUAGUGCAGGGGUAGGCGGAAUUCCCGGUGUAGCGGUGGAAUGCGUAGAUAUCGGGAGGAACACCAGUGGCGAAGGCGGCCUACUGGGCACCAACUGACGCUGAGGCUCGAAAGUGUGGGUAGCAAACAGGAUUAGAUACCCUGGUAGUCCACACCGUAAACGAUGAUUACUAGGUGUUGGGAGAUUGACCCCCUCAGUGCCGCAGUUAACACAAUAAGUAAUCCACCUGGGGAGUACGACCGCAAGGUUGAAACUCAAAGGAAUUGACGGGGGCCCGCACAAGCAGUGGAGUAUGUGGUUUAAUUCGACGCAACGCGAAGAACCUUACCAAGUCUUGACAUCCCUUGACGAUGCUGGAAACAGUAUUUCUCUUCGGAGCAAGGAGACAGGUGGUGCAUGGUUGUCGUCAGCUCGUGUCGUGAGAUGUUGGGUUAAGUCCCGCAACGAGCGCAACCCUUAUGGUCAGUUACUACGCAAGAGGACUCUGGCCAGACUGCCGUUGACAAAACGGAGGAAGGUGGGGAUGACGUCAAAUCAUCAUGCCCUUUAUGACUUGGGCUACACACGUACUACAAUGGCGUUAAACAAAGAGAAGCAAGACCGCGAGGUGGAGCAAAACUCAGAAACAACGUCCCAGUUCGGACUGCAGGCUGCAACUCGCCUGCACGAAGUCGGAAUUGCUAGUAAUCGUGGAUCAGCAUGCCGCGGUGAAUACGUUCCCGGGCCUUGUACACACCGCCCGUCACACCAUGAGAGCCGGGGGGACCCGAAGUCGGUAGUCUAACCGCAAGGAGGACGCCGCCGAAGGUAAAACUGGUGAUUGGGGUGAAGUCGUAACAAGGUA